This 253-nucleotide ribosomal RNA is filed under the name uncultured bacterium. Its description in RNAcentral is "partial 16S ribosomal RNA". It matches the Rfam family "Bacterial small subunit ribosomal RNA", at positions 524 to 776 of the family's 1533-position model. The record is from RNAcentral.
UACGGAGGGUGCUAGCGUUGUUCGGAAUUACUGGGCGUAAAGGGCUCGUAGGCGGCCAACUAAGUCGGAUGUGAAAUCCCCAAGCUUAACUUGGGAACUGCAUCCGAUACUGGAUGGCUUGAAUCCGGGAGAGGGAUGCAGAAUUCCAGGUGUAGCGGUGAAAUGCGUAGAUAUCUGGAGGAAUACCGGUGGCGAAGGCGGCAUCCUGGACCGGCAUUGACGCUGAGGAGCGAAAGCUAGGGGAGCAAACGGG